AGUCCAGCUGUGUACAAUGAUUUUGUACUUGCAGAAUUCCCAUCUACCCAGUUAUUCCCAGCUGUCCGUGCUAAAUCGCUUUUUCCAGAUGGUUUUUCCAGUUCGUCAAGAUCACUGGGUUUCUGACCUUGCUGUCGGUGUUUGUGCAGCCCCUCCCAGGCUGCUGUAAUCUGCGAAGGUCUGUCUUGUCCCUGCAUGCUCAAGCUGUUUGUAAUAAGCUUCGUUUAAUGCUACUGAACCCCACUACGGCAGGCACGGACGUCAAGUUGCAGAGGGUGGGGGCACUCUAUAAGUUAGCACAGAGAACAUCGAGGGCUCAUUGCUAAAAAGUUUGAGACCUCAGGAGUUGGCUGACCAGGUAAUGAACAUGGACUUAAUCCCACAGUGGGGUUUCUUUUUCUUCAUUUUUUCUUCCUUGGAUUUUUUUUUCCAGUUUGAGUUACAUUCGUGAGGCAAAGUUUAUGGAUAAAGUGAGUUUGUUGAGCUUCCCUGUGGGGAGGACAACAGCUGUGAGCCCGUGUAGGUGCUUGUAUUUGUGUGUGACUCCCGUAGGAGCUCUGUGAUAAAAGGGAGGAAGUCAUGUAGCUCUCACCAUUUGUCACUACUACUUAGGCCAGACGUUUUGCCUACUGAUCCAGGGCCUUUUGCAUGCAGUAAAGAUACAGUUUUGCAGAAGAGAGCUUACUGAUACUCAUACAAACCCAUAUGGCUCUUUUCACUCACGCAGUUUUUCUAGGCAGCUCAGCAGCUGUGUCUGGUCCUGCACCCGCCCCGCUGAUGUGUGACGCCUCUGGCUCACGGCGUGACUCAGGCGUUGGUGGGAGCUCUUGUGCCCUUCAGGCUCCGUGGACCCGGCUCGGCUGUGGCCGUCUUCCUUUCAUUCUGCUGAGGCAGAGCCAAGCACGGAUCCCUGGCGAGCUGGGGUCCCACCUGUGUUCUCAGGCCUGUGCUGGUGCUAUUAUAGCUUUCCAAGACAUGAUGGAACGAGUUUGUUUGCUUCUGGCCUCUCCUGGAGAAAGCAUGGGACACUUUGCAUCUGCAUGCAGUCAGAGAUAUGGAGAGCAGGGCUCCAGCAAGCGCUAA
RNAcentral lists this long non-coding RNA (1083 nucleotides) under Anser brachyrhynchus (Pink-footed goose). RNAcentral describes it as "lncRNA (ENSABRG00000022825.1)". The record is from RNAcentral. Lineage: Eukaryota; Metazoa; Chordata; Aves; Anseriformes; Anatidae.